RNAcentral lists this ribosomal RNA (535 nucleotides) under uncultured bacterium. RNAcentral's name for it is "bacterial SSU rRNA". It matches the Rfam family "Bacterial small subunit ribosomal RNA", at positions 777 to 1315 of the family's 1533-position model. The record is from RNAcentral.
AAUAGAUACCCGGGUAGUCCACGCCCUAAACGAUGUCUACUAGUUGUCGGAGGGUAACUCCUUCGGUAACGCAGCUAACGCGUGAAGUAGACCGCCUGGGGAGUACGGUCGCAAGAUUAAAACUCAAAGGAAUUGACGGGGACCCGCACAAGCGGUGGAUGAUGUGGAUUAAUUCGAUGCAACGCGAAAAACCUUACCUACCCUUGACAUGCCACUAACGAAGCAGAGAUGCAUUAGGUGCCCGAAAGGGAAAGUGGACACAGGUGCUGCAUGGCUGUCGUCAGCUCGUGUCGUGAGAUGUUGGGUUAAGUCCCGCAACGAGCGCAACCCUUGCCAAUAGUUGCUACGAAAGGGCACUCUAUUGGGACUGCCGGUGACAAACCGGAGGAAGGUGGGGAUGACGUCAAGUCCUCAUGGCCCUUAUGGGUAGGGCUUCACACGUCAUACAAUGGCUGGUACAGAGGGUUGCCAACCCGCGAGGGGGGAGCCAAUCCCACAAAACCAGUCGUAGUCCGGAUUGCAGUCUGCAACUCGA